GGAAUUGACGGGGAGCACCACAACGGGUGGAGCUUGCGGUUUAAUUGGAUCCAACGCCGGAAAUCUUACCGGGACCGACAGCAAUAUGAAGGCCAGGCUGAAGACUUUGCCGGAUUAGCUGAGAGGUGGUGCAUGGCCGUCGUCAGUUCGUACUGUGAAGCAUCCUGUUAAGUCAGGCAACGAGCGAGACCCACGCCCACAGUUGCCAGCGUACUCUCUGGAGUGACGGGUACACUGUGGGACCGCCGCUGCUAAAGCGGAGGAAGGAAUGGGCAACGGUAGGUCAGUAUGCCCCGAAUAUCCCGGGCUACACGCGAGCUACAAUGGUUGGUACAAUGGGUAUCUACCCCGAAAGGGGACGGGAAUCUCCUAAAACCAAUCUUAGUUCGGAUUGAGGGCUGCAACUCGCCCUCAUGAAGCUGGAAUCCGUAGUAAUCGCGUUUCAACAGAACGCGGUGAAUACGUCCCUGCUCCUU
Molecule: ribosomal RNA, 476 nt
Filed under: uncultured Methanosaeta sp.
Lineage: Archaea; Methanobacteriati; Methanobacteriota; Methanomicrobia; Methanotrichales; Methanotrichaceae
Description: bacterial SSU rRNA
Rfam family: Archaeal small subunit ribosomal RNA
Source: RNAcentral